CCCUUAGAAGUCCGGGGCCGCACGCGCGCUACACUGAAGGAAUCAGCGUGGCUUUCUCCCUGACCCGAAAGGGUUGGGAAACCCGUUGAAUCUCCUUCGUGAUAGGGAUUGGGGCUUGAAAUUGUUCCCCAUGAACGAGGAAUUCCCAGUAAGCGCGAGUCAUAAGCUCGCAUUGAUUACGUCCCUGCCCUUUGUACACACCGCCCGUCGCACCUACCGAUUGAAUGUUUCGGUGAAGAUUCCGGAUAGGACUUUUUUGAUUUAUUUCAAUUUUGUCUUAAAAGCUAUCUAAACCUCAACAUUUAGAGGAAGGUGAAGUCGUAACA
This 326-nucleotide ribosomal RNA is filed under the name uncultured eukaryote. RNAcentral describes it as "partial 18S ribosomal RNA". It matches the Rfam family "Eukaryotic small subunit ribosomal RNA", at positions 1470 to 1796 of the family's 1831-position model. The record is from RNAcentral.